RNAcentral lists this ribosomal RNA (439 nucleotides) under uncultured bacterium. RNAcentral's name for it is "partial 16S ribosomal RNA". It matches the Rfam family "Bacterial small subunit ribosomal RNA", at positions 339 to 795 of the family's 1533-position model. The record is from RNAcentral.
CUACGGGGGGCUGCAGUGAGGAAUAUUGCACAAUGGGGGGAACCCUGAUGCAGCAACGCCGCGUGGAGGAUGACGCAUUUCGGUGUGUAAACUCCUUUUAUAUGUCAAGAAAAUGACGGUAGCAUAUGAAUAAGCACCGGCUAACUCCGUGCCAGCAGCCGCGGUAAUACGGAGGGUGCAAGCGUUACUCGGAAUCACUGGGCGUAAAGGACGCGUAGGCGGGUUGGAAAGUCAGGUGUGAAAUCCUACAGCUUAACUGUGGAACUGCACUUGAAACUUCUAAUCUAGAGUAUGGGAGGGGGAGGUGGAAUUAGUGGUGUAGGGGUAAAAUCCGUAGAUAUCACUAGGAAUACCUAAAGCGAAGGCGAUCUCCUGGAACAUUACUGACGCUAAGGCGUGAAAGCGUGGGGAGCAAACAGGAUUAGAUACCCGCGUAGUC